This 747-nucleotide ribosomal RNA is filed under the name uncultured bacterium. RNAcentral's name for it is "bacterial SSU rRNA". It matches the Rfam family "Bacterial small subunit ribosomal RNA", at positions 60 to 767 of the family's 1533-position model. The record is from RNAcentral.
AGUCGAGCGAGUCUGCCUUGAAGAUCGGAGUGCUUGCACUCUGUGAAACAAGAUACAGGCUAGCGGCGGACGGGUGAGUAACACGUGGGUAACCUGCCCAAGAGAUCGGGAUAACACCUGGAAACAGAUGCUAAUACCGGAUAACAACAGAUGAUGCCUAUCAACUGUUUAAAAGAUGGUUCUGCUAUCACUCUUGGAUGGACCUGCGGUGCAUUAGCUAGUUGGUAGGGUAACGGCCUACCAAGGCGAUGAUGCAUAGCCGAGUUGAGAGACUGAUCGGCCACAUUGGGACUGAGACACGGCCCAAACUCCUACGGGAGGCAGCAGUAGGGAAUCUUCCACAAUGGACGCAAGUCUGAUGGAGCAACGCCGCGUGAGUGAAGAAGGGUUUCGGCUCGUAAAGCUCUGUUGUUGGUGAAGAAGGACGGGGGUAGUAACUGACCUUUGUUUGACGGUAAUCAAUUAGAAAGUCACGGCUAACUACGUGCCAGCAGCCGCGGUAAUACGUAGGUGGCAAGCGUUGUCCGGAUUUAUUGGGCGUAAAGCGAGUGCAGGCGGUUCGAUAAGUCUGAUGUGAAAGCCUUCGGCUCAACCGGAGAAUUGCAUCAGAAACUGUCGAGCUUGAGUACAGAAGAGGAGAGUGGAACUCCAUGUGUAGCGGUGAAAUGCGUAGAUAUAUGGAAGAACACCGGUGGCGAAGGCGGCUCUCUGGUCUGUUACUGACGCUGAGGCUCGAAAGCAUGGGUA